CUGAAUGAAUAAAAAUCACACACGCAUGAAAGAUAGAUAUAAGUAAAAAUUAAGACAGCAGCGUGAAUAUUUGUCCCCUUGACAUAGUUGAGCUAUCAUAUAGUCAACAGAAAGAGCAAACACGACUCCAAACAAAAUUUUGGCUUCUGACCUUCCACUCAAAACUCGCUCGUACAUAAAAUAGAACAUUUAAUGAAAUGUAUCAAGUUCUCCAGUAAGAUUGUGCAAACAUGCAGAAGGAAAAGGUGGUUCACAGUAUUAGCAACACACUGGGAGAGUCAAAUGCCUUCAUGUGCAAAUUUGAAUGACUCUUUUUCCCUCCAUUUACUAGUUUCACAGCUGGAGCCUUGGCAAUCCAUGUGAUUUUAACCUCAUCUAAAGCGAAGAGUUUCUCAAUCCAUCAAUUUGUCUUCAAAUCAUCUGGAAAAUUAUGUAUAAAAAAAUCCUCCAUUUUGAGGAUGAUUACAUAGAGCAUCCUUUAUUUUGAAACUGCAGUUAAUGUUCAUGAAAAAAGUUAACACUUAAAGAUACUCAUGCCCCAACUCUUAGAUCACAUCCACUGGCAUCCAAUUGUCAGUUGUGUAUACAAUAACUGCAAAUACCUAUGGCUUGCAUUUUGAUCCAUUUUUUUGUAUUCUAUUCAUAUGGUGGAUACUCGACUAAUUUAAACCAAAACUCCAAAUGGGAAACUUCUUUAGCAGUGCAAAUAAAUCAUUCAUUACAUGCCCAAAACAGUAUAUUCAAACCUGCUCUAGAAGCUAGCUGAACACACUUUGACAGAAGCAUAAUUUUCUCAACACCAGUACUGCUCCUGAAGAACAAACCAAAGUGAUGGAAAGAUAGACCAUCCAACAAAACAGAAUGUGGAAGCUAAGGCGCCUCUGGUUGCCCACAGGCAAAAGGAAAAAAGUUUGACCACUUGGCUUGUACACUAACAAAAUAGUACACAAUAACCUAUCCAGAUCCCAGGCAGCCUGAGCAUAAAUUACGGGCCGUGAUUUUUACUAUGAUUAUACAACUACGACCUAUACAUACCACAAAGAUUCGACUAAAAACUUCAUUAAAUAGCCACAUCAACGAGCACUGCCGGACUACAACACCAAUAUACUACAGCAAAUGAACAAGCUUCGUCCAUGUUGUCUCUGAGAAAUCAAACCAACCUCAAGUUCCCGACAACGCAAAAAAUGCUUUCGCAGCACCCAUUCAUAAAACCAAAAGAAUAAAAAAUAUUGUUUUUGAUAAACCAUUCGAAAACAACUUUCCUCUUCGAGAUGAACCAACAUGAAAGCACCUUCCCUUUCGUCUCACCAAUAGAUAAAACAAAAACAAUCUCUUGACACCACUUCACCAUCAUCAAUCCAAAUGUAGCUUUUGCAAAUAAGCAUCUUUCAGCUUCCUUCAUGCAGAGAAAGACCUGGUCUUGCCUUUGAAACUCAGCGAGAACAGCAAGAAGAUCAGACUUAAGCAAGCGAGAAACAUUUGAU
Populus euphratica (Euphrates poplar) is the source of this 1484-nucleotide long non-coding RNA. RefSeq lists it as uncharacterized. The transcript has 2 exons. The record is from RefSeq and is a predicted model, not a curated record. Lineage: Eukaryota; Viridiplantae; Streptophyta; Magnoliopsida; Malpighiales; Salicaceae.